AUUUUAUCUAACGAUUUUCUUGAUUGAAAUGGUUGUUCGGAUCUUAGAAUGUGUUCUUGUUGUUUUGUUUUGGUCUGUUGCAUUCAAAUGUGUGUAAAGAAGUGAAAUUUUCGCAAAAUUUCACUUGGUUUAAUGUUUAACUAUCUGGAAAUGAAAUUCCAGGACAAUACGAUUCAUUGUUGAGAGAAUUUAUAAAAAUUUGAACUAAAAUUGGAUCCAUGAACCUUUGUUUUUUGCUUUUGUUGGUUGAAAGUCUGAAUCUUGUUAGUUCAGUUUCAGGUUAUAGAGCAGUAAAA
This 296-nucleotide unclassified non-coding RNA is filed under the name Hevea brasiliensis (rubber tree). The record is from RNAcentral. Lineage: Eukaryota; Viridiplantae; Streptophyta; Magnoliopsida; Malpighiales; Euphorbiaceae.